UUUCCACAGCCCCGACCACUCCACACUAAUGGCCGGCAAGCUGUGAAAAGGAGGAAAAAGCAACCCUUAGGCUCAGGGGUGCGGCAGUGUGGAGACCUGUCGUAAUGCGGCGCGUCCCGAAGCGGGCGGCCGUGAGGGCGUUUCAUGCGAAGGCAGAACGCCCGGAGCUGCGCAACAUGGCA
This 182-nucleotide non-coding RNA is filed under the name unclassified sequences. Its description in RNAcentral is "malK-I RNA". It matches the Rfam family "malK-I RNA". The record is from RNAcentral.